RNAcentral lists this ribosomal RNA (253 nucleotides) under uncultured bacterium. RNAcentral describes it as "partial 16S ribosomal RNA". It matches the Rfam family "Bacterial small subunit ribosomal RNA", at positions 524 to 776 of the family's 1533-position model. The record is from RNAcentral.
UACGAAGGGGGCUAGCGUUGCUCGGAAUCACUGGGCGUAAAGGGUGCGUAGGCGGGUCUUUAAGUCAGGGGUGAAAUCCUGGAGCUCAACUCCAGAACUGCCUUUGAUACUGAAGAUCUUGAGUUCGGGAGAGGUGAGUGGAACUGCGAGUGUAGAGGUGAAAUUCGUAGAUAUUCGCAAGAACACCAGUGGUGAAGGCGGCUCACUGGUCCGGUACUGACGCUGAGGUGCGAAAGCGUGGGGAGCAAACAGG